ACAUCCAGAGACUUAGCAGAGAUGCUUUGGUGCCUUCGGGAACUCUGAGACAGGUGCUGCAUGGCUGUCGUCAGCUCGUGUUGUGAAAUGUUGGGUUAAGUCCCGNAACGAGCGCAACCCCUAUCCUUUGUUGCCAGCGAUUCGGUCGGGAACUCAAAGGAGACUGCCGGUGAUAAACCGGAGGAAGGUGGGGAUGACGUCAAGUCAUCAUGGCCCUUACGAGUAGGGCUACACACGUGCUACAAUGGCGCAUACAAAGAGAAGCGACCUCGCGAGAGCAAGCGGACCUCAUAAAGUGCGUCGUAGUCCGGAUUGGAGUCUGCAACUCGACUCCAUGAAGUCGGAAUCGCUAGUAAUCGUAGAUCAGAAUGCUACGGUGAAUACGUUCCCGGGCCUUGUACACACCGCCCGUCACACCAUGGGAGUGGGUUGCAAAAGAAGUAGAUAGCUUAACCUUCGGGAGGGCGUUUACCACUUUGUGAUUCAUGACUGGGGUGAAGUCGUAACAAGGUAGGCGUACGUGU
RNAcentral lists this ribosomal RNA (524 nucleotides) under uncultured bacterium. RNAcentral describes it as "bacterial SSU rRNA". It matches the Rfam family "Bacterial small subunit ribosomal RNA", at positions 984 to 1509 of the family's 1533-position model. The record is from RNAcentral.